RNAcentral lists this ribosomal RNA (1441 nucleotides) under uncultured organism. Its description in RNAcentral is "SSU rRNA". It matches the Rfam family "Bacterial small subunit ribosomal RNA". The record is from RNAcentral.
ACAGGCUUAACACAUGCAAGUCGAGGGGCAGCAUGGUCUUAGCUUGCUAAGGCCGAUGGCGACCGGCGCACGGGUGAGUAACACGUAUCCAACCUGCCGUCUACUCUUGGACAGCCUUCUGAAAGGAAGAUUAAUACAAGAUGGCAUCAUGAGUCCGCAUGUUCACAUGAUUAAAGGUAUUCCGGUAGACGAUGGGGAUGCGUUCCAUUAGAUAGUAGGCGGGGUAACGGCCCACCUAGUCUUCGAUGGAUAGGGGUUCUGAGAGGAAGGUCCCCCACAUUGGAACUGAGACACGGUCCAAACUCCUACGGGAGGCAGCAGUGAGGAAUAUUGGUCAAUGGGCGCAGGCCUGAACCAGCCAAGUAGCGUGAAGGAUGACUGCCCUAUGGGUUGUAAACUUCUUUUAUAAAGGAAUAAAGUCGGGUAUGGAUACCCGUUUGCAUGUACUUUAUGAAUAAGGAUCGGCUAACUCCGUGCCAGCAGCCGCGGUAAUACGGAGGAUCCGAGCGUUAUCCGGAUUUAUUGGGUUUAAAGGGAGCGUAGAUGGAUGUUUAAGUCAGUUGUGAAAGUUUGCGGCUCAACCGUAAAAUUGCAGUUGAUACUGGAUAUCUUGAGUGCAGUUGAGGCAGGCGGAAUUCGUGGUGUAGCGGUGAAAUGCUUAGAUAUCACGAAGAACUCCGAUUGCGAAGGCAGCCUGCUAAGCUGCAACUGACAUUGAGGCUCGAAAGUGUGGGUAUCAAACAGGAUUAGAUACCCUGGUAGUCCACACGGUAAACGAUGAAUACUCGCUGUUUGCGAUAUACGGCAAGCGGCCAAGCGAAAGCGUUAAGUAUUCCACCUGGGGAGUACGCCGGCAACGGUGAAACUCAAAGGAAUUGACGGGGGCCCGCACAAGCGGAGGAACAUGUGGUUUAAUUCGAUGAUACGCGAGGAACCUUACCCGGGCUUAAAUUGCAGAUGAAUUACGGUGAAAGCCGUAAGCCGCAAGGCAUCUGUGAAGGUGCUGCAUGGUUGUCGUCAGCUCGUGCCGUGAGGUGUCGGCUUAAGUGCCAUAACGAGCGCAACCCUUGUUGUCAGUUACUAACAGGUUCCGCUGAGGACUCUGACAAGACUGCCAUCGUAAGAUGUGAGGAAGGUGGGGAUGACGUCAAAUCAGCACGGCCCUUACGUCCGGGGCUACACACGUGUUACAAUGGGGGGUACAGAGGGCCGCUACCACGCGAGUGGAUGCCAAUCCCAAAAACCUCUCUCAGUUCGGACUGGAGUCUGCAACCCGACUCCACGAAGCUGGAUUCGCUAGUAAUCGCGCAUCAGCCACGGCGCGGUGAAUACGUUCCCGGGCCUUGUACACACCGCCCGUCAAGCCAUGGGAGCCGGGGGUACCUGAAGUGCGUAACCGCGAGGAGCGCCCUAGGGUAAAACUGGUGACUGGGGCUAAGUA